RNAcentral lists this ribosomal RNA (402 nucleotides) under uncultured Strobilidiidae. Its description in RNAcentral is "partial small subunit ribosomal RNA". It matches the Rfam family "Eukaryotic small subunit ribosomal RNA", at positions 30 to 432 of the family's 1831-position model. Lineage: Eukaryota; Ciliophora; Spirotrichea; Choreotrichida; Strobilidiidae. The record is from RNAcentral.
GCUUGUCUCAAAGAUUAAGCCAUGCAUGUCUAAGUAUAAGCACCCUUAUACAGCGAAACUGCGUACAGCUCAUUAUAUCAGCAAUUAUUUAUUUGAAGGUCACCUAUUACAUGGAUAACCGUGGUAAUUCUAGAGCUAAUACAUGCUGUAAAGCCCGACUUCUCGGAAGGGCCGUAUUUAUUAGAUAACAGACCAAUAUUCCUCGUGUCUAUUGUGGUGAAUCAUAGUAACUGAUCGGAUCGCAUGGGCUACGCCCGCGACAAACCAUUCAAGUUUCUGCCCCAUCAGCUUUCGAUGGUAGUGUAUUGGACUACCAUGGCUUUUACGGGUAACGGAGGAUUAGGGUUCGAUUCCGGAGAGGGAGCCUGAGAAACGGCUACCACAUCUAAGGAAGGCAGCAGG